Molecule: long non-coding RNA, 549 nt
Organism: Quercus robur (English oak)
Lineage: Eukaryota; Viridiplantae; Streptophyta; Magnoliopsida; Fagales; Fagaceae
Exons: 2
Source: RefSeq, a predicted model, not a curated record
UUCAUUUGAGAAGUAGUGGGGUCGGCAAAAAUUUUCACUUUCAAAAUCUAUUCCAAAUUCCAAUUUCAUCAUUUUGGAACUCUCUCUAUUGGAUUUCUACCUGCUUCCCCUCUCUCUCUCUUUUUCGGAUUUCCCUGUUCAUCAUCACCACCGUUUGGUUGCCCUUUCCUUCCACUCAACGCCGAAAUUGCUGGCACUUUUAAGUUAAUUCUUUGAUUUCCCUUUUCAGGACAAUGCAAAGAAACUUGACAAUGUUGCCUAGAGGUGCUGUUAAAGGAGUCUUGGUUCGACUCAUUUAGUCUUGGAAUGCAGAACAAAUGCAGUUCAAGGAGUCCAAUGCAGAAUAGGUGCUGCUGCUGAAGGAGUCCAAUCCGCUGGCUGGGGUUUUCAGAUUGAAGAAAGAGAUUUGGGAGGAUUAUUUUUCAAAUGUAAUUCUUUAUUAUUUGUUAGUUGUUUAGCAUAUCAGAUUAUGUGUAAUUGGAGACACUGAAUUUAGUUACUAUUUAAUCAAUGCAAAACGAAAGAAUCAAGGAGUACUACAAUCCAAAA